GGUUAACCGAAUAGGGGAGCCGGAGGGAAACCGAGUCUUAAUUGGGCGUUAAGUUGCAGGGUAUAGACCCGAAACCCGGUGAUCUAGCCAUGGGCAGGUUGAAGGUUGGGUAACACUAACUGGAGGACCGAACCGACUAAUGUUGAAAAAUUAGCGGAUGACCUGUGGCUGGGGGUGAAAGGCCAAUCAAACCGGGAGAUAGCUGGUUCUCCCCGAAAGCUAUUUAGGUAGCGCCUCGUGAAUUCAUCUCCGGGGGUAGAGCACUGUUUCGGCUAGGGGGCCAUCCCGGCUUACCAACCCGAUGCAAACUGCGAAUACCGGAGAAUGUUAUCACGGGAGACACACGGCGGGUGCUAACGUCCGUCGUGAAGAGGGAAACAACCCAGACCGCCAGCUAAGGUCCCAAAGUCAUGGUUAAGUGGGAAACGAUGUGGGAAGGCCCAGACAGCCAGGAUGUUGGCUUAGAAGCAGCCAUCAUUUAAAGAAAGCGUAAUAGCUCACUGGUCGAGUCGGCCUGCGCGGAAGAUGUAACGGGGCUAAACCAUGCACCGAAGCUGCGGCAGCGACGCUGAUGCGUUGUUGGGUAGGGGAGCGUUCUGUAAGCCUGCGAAGGUGGCCUGUGAGGGUUGCUGGAGGUAUCAGAAGUGCGAAUGCUGACAUAAGUAACGAUAAAGCGGGUGAAAAGCCCGCUCGCCGGAAGACCAAGGGUUCCUGUCCAACGUUAAUCGGGGCAGGGUGAGUCGACCCCUAAGGCGAGGCCGAAAGGCGUAGUCGAUGGGAAACGGGUUAAUAUUCCCGUACUUGGUGUUACUGCGAAGGGGGGACGGAGAAGGCUAUGUUGGCCGGGCGACGGUU
This 855-nucleotide ribosomal RNA is filed under the name Salmonella enterica subsp. enterica. RNAcentral's name for it is "partial 23S ribosomal RNA". It matches the Rfam family "Bacterial large subunit ribosomal RNA", at positions 644 to 1503 of the family's 2925-position model. Lineage: Bacteria; Pseudomonadati; Pseudomonadota; Gammaproteobacteria; Enterobacterales; Enterobacteriaceae. The record is from RNAcentral. RNAcentral also lists the same sequence under 1 other name.